CAGCAGCCGCGGGAAUACGUAGGGUGCGAGCGUUAAUCGGAAUUACUGGGCGUAAAGCGUGCGCAGGCGGUUGUGUAAGACAGGUGUGAAAUCCCCAGGCUUAACCUGGGAACUGCGCUUGUGACUGCACAGCUAGAGUAUGGCAGAGGGGGGUGGAAUUCCACGUGUAGCAGUGAAAUGCGUAGAGAUGUGGAGGAACACCGAUGGCGAAGGCAGCCCCCUGGGCCAAUACUGACGCUCAUGCAUGAAAGCGUGGGGAGCAAACAGGAUUAGAUACCCGCGUAGUCCCUGUCUCUUAUAA
This 301-nucleotide ribosomal RNA is filed under the name uncultured bacterium. RNAcentral's name for it is "partial 16S ribosomal RNA". It matches the Rfam family "Bacterial small subunit ribosomal RNA", at positions 509 to 809 of the family's 1533-position model. The record is from RNAcentral.